GGAGGCGGGCAUGAACGGGAGAGUAACACGUGGGACCUAUUUCAAAAGAUCGGAACAACCAAGGGAAACUUUGGCUAAUACCGGAUCCUUCCGAAAGGAGAAAGAUUUAUCGCUGAAGGAUCGGCCCGCGUCUGAUUAGCUAGUUGGUGAGGUAAAGGCUCACCAAGGCAAUGAUCGGUAGCCGGCCUGAGAGGGCACACGGCCACACUGGCACUGAAACACGGGCCAGACUCCUACGGGAGGCAGCAGUGGGGAAUCUUGCACAAUGGGGGAAACCCUGAUGCAGCGACGCCGCGUGAGUGAUGAAGCCCUUCGGGGUGUAAAGCUCUUUCGGCAGGGACGAUAAUGACGGUACCUGAAGAAGAAGCUGCGGCUAACUACGUGCCAGCAGCCGCGGUAA
RNAcentral lists this ribosomal RNA (400 nucleotides) under uncultured bacterium. RNAcentral describes it as "bacterial SSU rRNA". It matches the Rfam family "Bacterial small subunit ribosomal RNA", at positions 88 to 523 of the family's 1533-position model. The record is from RNAcentral.